CUUGGCUGGAGACACCCUGUGGGUAAGUUUAGGGAGAGGUAAUAGGAGGGAGCAAUCUCAAUCUCUUCUCGUAGGGAGAAGCUAAUAAGGAAGUCAGGCCGGAAAGGCCAGCAAUAGGGAAAGGAAAUUCAACUUAAAAACUUGUGGUCGCGACUGUUUAAAAAAAAAAAAAAAGAGGCGGGGAUAGAAGGAGUAGGAAAAAUGGGGGAGAGGCAGGGGGAAAAGGGACUAGUAAAGGAAAACCAGAAGAGGAAGAAAGGAAGAGUGUGCUACGCAGGCUGCUGCUUCUCCUGUUCUUCCCCUCUCACUCCCUCCAAAGCCAGGAAAAGUUUGCAAGCGCAACAUUCGGGACGGGAGAGCGAGCUCUUCAUUCACAGACCCAGGAAGAGAAGCGCCCACCUCACCCUUCCCCAUUCGCGCCGCCUUGGGUUUCCCUCUCUCCGGAUGAUGGAGGGCAGCCGGCGCGACCCAGGGAGGCGGUAGCCCUGGCGGAUCCCCCGGAUCCCCCGCAGCUCGCUCGCUCUCCCGCAAAGCCACCCCUCCCUCCUCCAUCCUCCUCCCGGAAAGGAAAAAAGGAAAGGUCGAACCUCUAAACCGACCCCCCCCCCCCUUCCUGGGGGAGCUAACGCAGAAAGUACAGUUCUGUGAUUCACUGGAGAGAAAAGAGGGAGGAGGCAGCAAAGAACUCCGAGUGCCAAAACUAAGUAAGUUAGCUGACAAAACGCACGCAGCUUGCAGCGCCUCCGCCGGGUGCACCAACUCUGCGGAGACCAAGCGGGCUCGGUGUGGAGCGGCCACGGGGGCAGGGACCCCGCUGCGGUCCCCACGCGCUCCAGCGGCCCGGAGAAGAAAUCGCUGCCCGCAGUUCCUGCAAAGGAGGGGAGGUAGCGCCGGAGGGAGGUCAGGAAACGGCCUUCUCUCUCACUUCGCCGCCUGGUGAGUGUCGGGAAGAUUGACAAACGCCUUGGAGAGGACCGGGAGAAAGAGAGAGCCCUGUGAAAGUGCAGACGGUGAUCGGGCAGCCGGUCCGCUCCGGGCAGCGCCUCAUCUGCCCGGGUAAGAGCGAGGCGCGGCGGCUCAACUUCCCAGUGUUUUCCAGCCGAUGAUCAGGGAUUUAGAGAUGUGGGUUACCACGGAUCGGAGAUAAAGACUCCCACUCUUGACAAACUUGCUGCUGAAGGAGUUAAACUGGAGAACUACUAUGUCCAGCCUAUUUGCACACCGUCCAGGAGUCAGUUUAUUACUGGAAACAGAAUGAACUUCAAACUGUGAAGGAUUGAUGAAAUAUGAUUACUAGCAAAUAGAAGCCCAGG
RNAcentral lists this long non-coding RNA (1313 nucleotides) under Equus caballus (horse). Its description in RNAcentral is "lncRNA (ENSECAG00000057360.1)". The record is from RNAcentral. Lineage: Eukaryota; Metazoa; Chordata; Mammalia; Perissodactyla; Equidae.